GCAGGUGAAUGCAACGUCAAGCGAUGGGCGUUGCGCUCCAUAUUGUCUUACUUCUUUAUAUUGUGAAUGGCUAUGCAGCAUAGUUGAUUCAGAUAACGCCGGGUGUAUACCCCGGCUUUU
Molecule: small RNA, 120 nt
Filed under: Biostraticola tofi
Lineage: Bacteria; Pseudomonadati; Pseudomonadota; Gammaproteobacteria; Enterobacterales; Bruguierivoracaceae
Description: Fumarate/nitrate reductase regulator sRNA
Rfam family: Fumarate/nitrate reductase regulator sRNA
Source: Rfam by way of RNAcentral